Molecule: transfer RNA, 75 nt
Filed under: Thermoplasmata archaeon M11B2D
Lineage: Archaea; Methanobacteriati; Thermoplasmatota; Thermoplasmata
Also listed under: 1 other name
Description: tRNA-Ile
Rfam family: tRNA
About the family: Transfer RNA (tRNA) molecules are approximately 80 nucleotides in length. Their secondary structure includes four short double-helical elements and three loops (D, anti-codon, and T loops).
Source: RNAcentral
UGGACUGUAACUCAGUGGUAGAGUCCUCGACUGAUAAUCGAGUGGUCGGUGGUUCAAAUCCACCCAGUCCAACCA